ACCACAGCAGGCCCUUCCCAAUCAGGACAGGCACAGAUUCCCCUAACAGACUACAGCAGGCCAAUCAGGACAGGCACAGAUAACUCUGUUGAUGUAAGAUUUUCAAAACUAGAAACUGGACUCCCAGUUGGGAGCAGAGAUGUCCAUCUAGAAUUAGGUACUCCGGAGACUGCCUGUGCCAUCUUGGGUUGCCAUUUUACCAUUUUGGAUCCUGGGAGACAACAGAUCUCAGGCUAUGAAGGACUAAUCCAGGCACCAAGAUCCAUUUCCCAAAGCUAAGAGGCUGAAAGUUACACCAAGCAUCUGAGAGCUAAGCCUGACAAAGUACUUGGAGAUCCCUGAAGAUCUAGAAAUCAAGGCAGUCCCAAACUGACCACAUAUUGAAGUUGUUAAAUGUUGGACUCAAUAUCUCUACAAAUGGAAUCCAAGGAUAUACCCAGAAGCUGGGAGUCUAGGGAAGAAAAAGCUGUGGGCUUCUCCUUUCAAAAUGGAACACUCUGUGGCCUCCAACCUUUACUGCACCCCUCAGAGGAACCAUGUAUUUAUCUUCUCCAGGAGGAAAAUGCUAAUGAAAUUUCUCCAAGAGACUCCAAUAGGCAUUUCCUUGCUCAGGUGGCCCAAGAUUCCGAGAACAAGAAGCUGGAUACCUUUUUGAGUUUUGGAGUGUCCAUCUGGAACUAUGUCCCUGUAGGGCCAGUCCAGGCUGACCUUGUGCAGUGGUUUAGGCCCUGGGAGACAAGACCAAGGACAGCAGCUGAGGAAGAAUUCAGCUGGGUGGUAGGUGAGUUUCUGCUUUCCUCCGCAAGCAGAUUGAUGGACUCUUCCAACCAGGUGGACCUGCAGCCUUCAAAACAAAGACCUGCCUCCUUGUCACCUAUAGACUCACCCAGGCCACACUUGCAGGCCAGGAGAAGACUGAUCUUUGACACUUGAUUAGUUCCUACCCAAUCCCCUCCAAAGUCCAGUCCUGUAUUGGCCAUCUCAGCCCAUUAAUGACUUUGUGACCUCGACUUCAUCAUUUCCCCUUCCCAGACCUCAGUUUCCCUUUCUCUCCAACAAGGGACUUUUACAAAAUGAUCUUUGAGGUACUGAAAAUGUGAUUCUGAGGCUUUUCUAUUUUCACCUUUGAAAUUUUGAAAAUAAAGGGUUAUACCCAAGAAAAAUACA
This 1167-nucleotide long non-coding RNA is filed under the name Monodelphis domestica (gray short-tailed opossum). Its description in RNAcentral is "lncRNA (ENSMODG00000032978.2)". The record is from RNAcentral. Lineage: Eukaryota; Metazoa; Chordata; Mammalia; Didelphimorphia; Didelphidae.